Scatophagus argus is the source of this 2085-nucleotide long non-coding RNA. RefSeq lists it as uncharacterized. Lineage: Eukaryota; Metazoa; Chordata; Actinopteri; Scatophagidae. The record is from RefSeq and is a predicted model, not a curated record. The transcript is spliced from 4 exons.
UGUGAAAGGGACACAAAACUGUAUUUGAGGUUAGUGUUAGACUGUGUGUAGAUUAAUGUUACCAAAGGAAGACCGAACAUUUGAAUAAGCAUUAACAAACUCCAGUGCGCUCUGUGACUUGAGGAAGUGUAAUGAAGUGCCCUUUAGUUCCAGUGGUUCUAAACUUACUUAAACAGUUUGUUUUUAUUCCUAUUGCCAAGAGCAACCAUCCAAAUGUCCUUUUUGAUUAGAAGCCAGCAGCACUAACCUCCCUGGUCAUGAAGUCCUGGAACAUCUGGACAAAAUCCAACAGCUUCUUAGAGUUAUACAGGAUGCUACUGUAAUCCCGCUUGACCUUUCAUUUACAUCCCUAAGCUUGCAGAUGACUCAGUCAGAGACAGAAGAUAUGUACACAGACAUUCUCCUCCCACUCAGACAAAGUCCCGUCACUGAGGGUCAAGAGGUGGAAUCUGUUGUCAGCUACAAGUAGCUUGGUUCACCGUCAACAAGACGGCAACAAUUUCACUUCUGUAUGUAGUGCAGAAAUGGUUUGUGAGAGAGAUCAGCAACAAGUUUUUUUUGCACACGAAAACUUACCAAGUUUCAUGUUGGCAGGUGUCUCAUGACUCACUUUUACAAAUCCUAAGUAGGAUCAACCAUUUUCAGCUGUUUCUCUCCAUCUGUCACAUGUCACAUUGGUCAUGCUCGUAUCUAAACAAACGGACAUCCUGUUGCAUUUAUAUCUGACAUGAACGCGUCUCAGAUAUGUAGCCUUUCUUAUUUAUUUAUUUAUCGCAUUGAAAAACAUUUUGGAUUUUUUUUUUCUCUUAAUGCUGAGAUUAAGCUCAAAAUGAAUUUAAAUGAUGUUCUGUUUGAUGGCUCUAAAGAAACAUCAUGCUGAUAAAUUAACAUAUAAUUGCUCUAAUCAAAUUAGUUCUGCACAAAAAUGCAAUGAAAUUGACUCGAUUCUAGCAAAACUGUAUUUGCUACUGCGUCUAUGUUUGUGCUUCCUCUGGCUGGACAUCUUCACUCAUCACAGAGCCUGUUUGCAGGAAUCUAAGUUUUCAGUGUCCUGACCCACUUCUGUGAGUAAGCUGGUGUUGAUUGAGGUUGACAAAAAGCCUCUCCCACUUUUCCCAGAACGGUUUCCCAGCAAAGUGGGAGCAAAGUCCCCAGAGGGAGUCGUCAACUUUCCCAUUGACCGCUGGAUCACUGACAGCGCGGUUCACCUGUUCAUAAAAAGAACAGGUUUGUGGAAUUGCCUUUGACUAAUCUUGUUAUCACCAAACACAACACAUCACACCAGGAAAAGACGAAUUUCAUGAUCAUUUUCACAGCUCUAAGAACCUUUGAUGCCAAUAAUCAUCUUGGCAAGUACAGUAGGCAGAAGGAGCUGAAGCAGAGAGAGCAGAUGUAUAGGUGGGAGCAGUGCUAUGUGUUUAUGUAUAAUAUACACUCUACAAAGAACCCAAACCAGUGAUGUUGUUUAAGUUAGUGACAUAAACCUGUCUUUACUUCUGUGACUUAGAAUAUACAGAGUAUUAGAGUGUACUCAUGUCCUUUAAAAUUGUUGUUCUUCAUCAUUCUGUUUUAUAUUUCCCAGCUGGCAUGUUUAUAAAGAGGGAAUACCUCACUGCUUGAAAAGAGACACAACCCUCUUUCUCUGCCCUGUGAAGUCCACCUCUCUUUCUGCAAGGGUACAGAGUCUGUCUAUACUACGGCAUCCACUGGGCUGACGGAGCUGAAAGUGAAGGGACUCUCUGACUGCAAGCGAAAUGUAUCUGACAUUGAUGCUAUUCGUAAUGUCUUCUGCAACAAAAUAACACGCAAAUGAGCUCCUCACACCUCACACUGACUACACUCUGCAGACCAUUUGACUGUUCCCCCAGCUUCUGGUGGGGAGGGUAUGAUCACACUCCUGAAGAGAUCACCAUCCUCACUGACCUACAGCUCCUUCUGUACACCAGAUGACAUUGCUGAGCGCGGACUUGAGGAUGUGUCGAACUUCUACUACAGAGAUGAUGGGCUCAAGCUUCAGGAGAUAAUCCACAGUGUUCGUCAACUGCAGUAUGACUACAGUGAAUGGAUGCCCAACACUCCCAUCUC